Molecule: long non-coding RNA, 950 nt
Filed under: Ailuropoda melanoleuca (giant panda)
Lineage: Eukaryota; Metazoa; Chordata; Mammalia; Carnivora; Ursidae
Description: lncRNA (ENSAMEG00000030342.1)
Source: RNAcentral
UGGCCCCCGAGCGCGGGGAGCGCGGCCCAAGCGUCCUCCGCGUCUCCCGGGACAACCUCGGGCGCUGCCCUCUCAGCAGCGGCGGUUAAUUGGAUUCGGGACGGAGGGGGGGCACGGCAGCCUACCGCUGGGGCCAAUCGAAGACCUAGAAAGCCCUAUAUGCAAAUACAUGAGGGCUGGGCGUACCCCAAAUUAGGAGGAGCGAGGGUCGGCUGACGGGUUGUCCGGCAGCCAAUGGGAGCGUGUCUCCUUAAUCUUUUGAGGAGGGGGCCCGCAGGUGUGGUUGCGAGCGGUACGGGCCGCCGAGCGGGGGCAAGACCCGGGCAUAGGAAUCGCGGCAGGCAAACAGCAGUAGCCAUGACUUGUUCUCACCACUUGGGCAAGGACUCAAAAAAGAGCAAAGACAACUCGCAGCUCCGGAGGCCAGAUUCAGGGGUGAGCAGGGAUUUCCCCAGAGCCGCCUCCCAGGCUGGGGAGAUGCCCCAGUGCCUGCCUUUGGAAGGUGAGGAAGGGGCCGACUCAGAAGAGCGGGAGGACAGUUCCCAAGAAGAUCCGAAAGAGAUCAUCACCCUGGCUUUCGUGAGCGAGAACACUGGGGUGCAAGGGGGGCUUCAGGAUGCCCAGCAGCAAGGCAAGAAGAAGAGGAAGAAAAAGAGGUUAGGACUGAAAGAUGGGGAAUGGGGAUCCAUGUUGUGGGGAGCAGAAGGGACCUAGGGAGGAUGGGGCCUUGGCCAUGAAUGAGAAUUCAAGAGAUGUUGUGUGUGCUGAGAACUUCAAAAUCACACCCCCUUCAGUUCAUAGGAGAAGAAUCCACCUGACGAUCUGUUUUAUAGAAUCAAAUAAUGGUGUAUAAUCUCACACCACACCUUGUCCUAAUCUUCAUUCUAUUUGUGUUUAGAAUGCUUUUUUUUUUUUUUUAUUUCCUCGUUUUAAGGAAGUGCUUAUUGUCC